AAAGGUAUUUUAAAAAUAUUUUUCAAUUGAAGAAAACGUUUGAUGAUUCUAGUAAAAAUAAUCAAGGGACUAAUUUCUCUCCGGUUCUCGUAUUUACAGCAAAACUCCGAAGGAGGAGCUCCCGCACAAAUCUCCCCAGCGUCAGACCACCAAUGCAGAACUCUGCAGGCAGCUGGAGGAGAGCCACAGGAGAAUCGAAACUUUGGAACAACAGUUGCAGUUGGAGAAAGACGAGUAUAAGAGCCUCCUCUGCAGAGUUCUGCAGCACGCUGGGGAGAAAAGGGAGCUCCUCACGGAGAUUAAAACCCUCCAAGAACAGCUGGAGAGGAAUUCAAAAACAUUUCAACAAAUGGUGGAGGAAAGACUUAAUUUAAAAAAAGAAAAUCAAGAAUUAAAAUUGAAGAACUGGAAGUUGAGCGAGGAGAAGGCGACCAUCCUGCGAAAUUUCAGGGAGAGGCUGAGGAGGUGAGAAGCAGGUAGACAGCAGCCCUGACUGAGGGAGGGAGAGGACCAGGAUUCCCUGAAGCAGCUUGGUUGAAGCAGGAUUCCAGGGUGAAGAACCUGCCCUAUAAGGGAUGGAGGGAGAGAGGACAAUUAGAACGGGGAGGCCACA
Pantherophis guttatus is the source of this 613-nucleotide non-coding RNA. The record is from RefSeq and is a predicted model, not a curated record. Lineage: Eukaryota; Metazoa; Chordata; Lepidosauria; Squamata; Colubridae.